RNAcentral lists this ribosomal RNA (323 nucleotides) under uncultured Prevotella sp. RNAcentral describes it as "partial 16S ribosomal RNA". Lineage: Bacteria; Pseudomonadati; Bacteroidota; Bacteroidia; Bacteroidales; Prevotellaceae. The record is from RNAcentral.
GGAGUUUGGACCGUGUCUCAGUUCCAAUGUGGGGGACCUUCCUCUCAGAACCCCUACCGAUCGAGGGCUUGGUGGGCCGUUACCCCGCCAACUACCUAAUCGGACGCAUCCCCACUCCAUGGCCGGGUAAACCUUUAGUUCCUCGUUAGAUGUCUGCAAAGGACCCCAUAGGGCAUUAAUCCGCUUUUCAACGGGCUAUUCCCUAGCCAUGGGCAGGUUGGAUACGCGUUACUCACCCGUGCGCCGGUCGCCAUCAUUGGUAGCAAGCUACCAAUAUGCUGCCCCUCGACUUGCAUGUGUUAAGCCUGUAGCUAGCGUUCAUC